ACUGUCUAAUUAAAACAUAGCAUUGCGAUGGCCAGAAAACGGUGUUUACGCUAUGUGAUUUCUGCCCGGUGCUCUGAAUGCCAAAGUGAAGAAAUUCAACCAAGCGCGGGUAAACGGCAGAAGUAACUAUGACUCGACAAGCACUUCGUGGGAUGGCUACUGAAGUAAGGGUCAA
Ribosomal RNA from Rasamsonia emersonii CBS 393.64, 175 nucleotides. It matches the Rfam family "Eukaryotic large subunit ribosomal RNA", at positions 2137 to 2327 of the family's 3401-position model. The record is from Rfam. Lineage: Eukaryota; Fungi; Ascomycota; Eurotiomycetes; Eurotiales; Trichocomaceae.